Long non-coding RNA from Corticium candelabrum, 1273 nucleotides. RefSeq lists it as uncharacterized. The record is from RefSeq and is a predicted model, not a curated record. NCBI's taxonomy places the organism in Eukaryota, Metazoa, Porifera, Homoscleromorpha, Homosclerophorida, Plakinidae. The transcript is spliced from 8 exons.
GUUCUUGUUGUCUCCGAUGUAGUCUAGCCCACUCGGCAGCUGCGACAUUGUCAAGUCCAAAGAAUACGAAAUGUAAAGCGUCGAUUAGAAGACAGAGGGAUGUACGUCAUCACAUGAAGAUACCUCCAUUGUCAUCAUCACUUGCAAAAUCUACGAAGACAAAAAAAGCAAAGAGACCAAGACAGCCAGAAACACUUGCACCGUCUGCUGAAUCUCUCAUCAUUCAUCAGAAAAAGUUGAUCUUCGAAAUACUUGACCAACAUUCUGCAGCUGCUGUAGUUGACGGAGGAGAAUGAUACCAAUAGUCAGGUACAGGUAAAGUUUCAAGACACAUUUUGGUGUGAUAGCAUAAGGUCAUUUCUAUGAGAAGAUACGUCCAUGUCCAGAGUCUGAGGCCAAGAUGCCCAUUCCUAUAGUUGUAAGUGAAUGCAGUAAUAUGUAGUCAUGCACAGACAACAGCCAGCGUUUCUGUUACAUAAGAAACCGUAUGUCAACAGGCACAGUCACCAAUGCAAAAUUAAAGUGUCAUAGUCUCAUAUGAACAGGGAGCAACACCUAUCAGUCAGCCCAUCAGAGGUCAAAACACUGCCACGACCACUCCAUGUUGUUCCUUGCUCUGGCAAUGUCACACAUUUGCCUGAUUCAUUGUUCCAGUCAGCACUUGUGACAAGUGACCAUAUUGAAAAGAAUCCAGUGUGAUGAAGGUAUUGAUUAGUCUAAACAGCAACAACCACUUGACAUGAUAAACGAACUUAUGAACAAUUCAAGGGUAAUUAAUAUCUAGUUCAGUUGGUUGUCAUAAAAUAUCGUGCCUAUUGAUCUUGCUGUUAUGUGCAGCCGCAUUUUGUGGACGUUGAUGAUACCGUGGUGGCUCCAAAAGUCUGUGAACAAAUCAAAGAAAUAUUAACACGGGUUUCCAACAUUGAAAAGAAACUUGAUUAUCUACUGAGCAAAUCAGGGGAAAGAAGAGAAAGCACAGUGAUCAGUAGAACGAAAGUCAGGCUAAGAAAGAACCAUAGGUAGCCUGUGGUGCCUCUCUGCCAUCAAGGAAUGACUCAUCAGCUGCACCAUCUACUUCUGCUGAGUUGGAGUACAAUGACUUUUGUGGGCAAAAACUGUGCAUGAGGCACGCAGAAAGAAAGGUUCAUGUGAAAUGGCCAGAUGCCUCAUCCGGUGCUUCUUCACGCAUGAAGAGCUCGCUACCUGAAGCGUGUUAAAAGCAAGAAAUGGUUGUCACAAUCUGCCGCAUUCCAAUGAAGAACAGCUGCAACUG